GGUCAAUGAUGCUAAAUCCAAAGGCUAGUUUCUCAAAACAUUCGCAGUAGCCGCCUAAGAGCUUUCGCCUUCGCCAGGCUUGAGAGCUUGUGCUGCUAAUCCUUCCUUGGAUGUCUGAGACU
Small nucleolar RNA from Vitis vinifera (wine grape), 122 nucleotides. It matches the Rfam family "Small nucleolar RNA SNORD14". From Rfam's summary of the family: U14 small nucleolar RNA (U14 snoRNA) is required for early cleavages of eukaryotic precursor rRNAs. In yeasts, this molecule possess a stem-loop region (known as the Y-domain) which is essential for function. The record is from Rfam. NCBI's taxonomy places the organism in Eukaryota, Viridiplantae, Streptophyta, Magnoliopsida, Vitales, Vitaceae.